AGAGAGUUGCUCGAGUGGUUGAAGAGGCACGCCUGGAGAGCGUGUAUGCGUUUUACGUAUCGUGGGUUCGAAUCCCACACUCUCUG
RNAcentral lists this transfer RNA (86 nucleotides) under Bacteroidota bacterium. RNAcentral describes it as "Bacteroidetes bacterium (marine metagenome) tRNA-Ser". It matches the Rfam family "tRNA". Rfam says of the family: Transfer RNA (tRNA) molecules are approximately 80 nucleotides in length. Their secondary structure includes four short double-helical elements and three loops (D, anti-codon, and T loops). Further hydrogen bonds mediate the characteristic L-shaped molecular structure. tRNAs have two regions of fundamental functional importance: the anti-codon, which is responsible for specific mRNA codon recognition, and the 3' end, to which the tRNAs corresponding amino acid is attached (by aminoacyl-tRNA synthetases). tRNAs cope with the degeneracy of the genetic code in two manners: having more than one tRNA (with a specific anti-codon) for a particular amino acid; and 'wobble' base-pairing, i.e. permitting non-standard base-pairing at the 3rd anti-codon position. The record is from RNAcentral. Lineage: Bacteria; Pseudomonadati; Bacteroidota.